AGAUCUACAACACUUGAAGACAAAUCUGUUGGUGAUCACCUGGUUCGCAUCAAAGUUCUUGUUGAUGCGCUUGCUUCAGUAGGAGAUCCAGUUCUAGAUCAACAAUACAUUGAUGUGAUUCUUGAAGGUCUUCCUCAAGACUUUGUCUCUGUUAUUUCAGUCAUUGAAAGCAAGUUUGAUUCAAUAGAACUUGAAGAAGUUGAAGCUCUACUUCUUGCUCAUGAGAUGAGAUUCAACAAGUAUAAGAAACACUCUCAAACGGAGGUGGCUGCCUUGGUGAAUCUCACUCAAGCUAAUUCUCAAUCUGAAACUGAUAACUCCAA
Non-coding RNA from Vicia faba (fava bean), 323 nucleotides. Lineage: Eukaryota; Viridiplantae; Streptophyta; Magnoliopsida; Fabales; Fabaceae. The record is from the annotation of a GenBank genome assembly.